This 19230-nucleotide long non-coding RNA is filed under the name Prunus persica (peach). RNAcentral's name for it is "long non-coding RNA (PPER_LNC003957)". The stretch from base 8932 to 9038 matches the Rfam family "MIR6274 microRNA precursor family". The record is from RNAcentral. Lineage: Eukaryota; Viridiplantae; Streptophyta; Magnoliopsida; Rosales; Rosaceae.
ACAACUAUGAACUAAUUAUUAAUUAAUGAAAUUAAUUAGUGUGUGGUUUAAUUAAUGUGAAAAAAACAGUAUAAGGGUGAGCAAUGAGGUUGGUGCUGGGCAUCCAAAAUCAGCAUCAUUUGCAGUGGUGGUUGUAACUACAAGCUCCUUAAUCAUCUCCUUAAUCCUUGCCAUAAUCAUACUUGCACUCCGCCGUUACCUCAGCUAUAUAUUCACUGAGGGCUCCACUGUUUCUAAUGCCGUCGCUGAACUUUCUCCCUUCUUGGCUUGUACUCUUUUACUUAACGGCAUCCAACCUGUUUUGUCUGGUAAUUAAGAACUAUAUGUUUGGAUAAUUAAGUUAAUUAAAACGAAGGAUGCAUGUUCAUUAAUUCUUAAUUGAACUUGUUUUUUAAUUAAUUAAGGGGUGGCUGUUGGGUGUGGAUGGCAAGCAAUCGUGGCAUGGAUUAACGUAGGAUGUUACUACAUCAUUGGUAUCCCACUGGGUUGUGUUCUUGGCUUCAAGCUUGACUUAGGAGCUAAGGUAUGAAUUUAGGGUAGCGAUUUUAAAUCUCGUUUUUCUUAAUCAUUUGCAGUUCGAAACUGAAUAAUUUACACCUUAGAGUGUUAAAAUCACUAGCCAUGAAUUUAUUUACAUAACUUUGGGACUCACUUUUUUUUUUUUCUUUUCCCAUUGAGUCUGUAGGGAAUAUGGUCGGGAAUGCUGGCGGGCACUUUUAUUCAAACUCUUAUACUCUGUUGGAUCACAUUCCGGACUGACUGGAAUAAAGAGGUAACGUUGGCAAACUAGUAUUUCAAUUUGAUUUUUCCCUUCCAAUAAGUUAAUCAUACAAUCAUAUCAUAUAAAUAUAAUUUGGAGCUGUAUCAAGCAUUCAAAUGUAAAUUUUUUUAAUUUUUUUUUUUAAUCAGAUUGCGAAAUCAAAGAUUCGUAUAGAUGAAUGGGAAGACAAGAAGGAGCCUCUUCUCAAUGAAUAGACCCAAGUUUAGGAAACUUGGGACAAAACUCUCGUUUAAAAUAUAAAAAAACUUUGUUUGUCGGAGGGGCAAUUGGCAUGCCUUGUCUUUUUAUAUAAUAUCUUCAGUGACACUGGGCUUUGGUUUUUCUUUUGUCACAUUAAUAUUGUAUGGGAAAUUCUAAUUCAUUAUCUCACUCUUUCGACGCUUAAGCUAAAAUCGAUUACUUUUUUGAGUAAGUUUUAACUCACCACCCUCUAAGAGCACCUCCAACGUCCAACUCAAACCUGGGGGAAAGGCCCUCCUGGCGAGCCCAAGCCACCUUCUGCGCGAGAGAAGAAGCCCGGGCAAUCGCUGGGUCCCACCAACCCUGGCAGGACCAAGGGCAAGUCUUGCCUGGGCUUCAGCCCGAGUUGGGUGACGUCAGCGCACGGUAAUUCAAAUUUUUUUUACCGUUGGCGCGUGAAUUACAAGCGCCAACGGUAAAAAAUAUUUGACUUCCGCACAUCACCCAUGACAGACUCCAACGGGCAUUGACACGUGUCUCAAUCGGGCCUCUCCGAUGGGUUUUUUUCAAGAAAUUCGACGGUCCUCCUUUUUUCGGCUAAAAAAAUACCAAAAAAUUCGGUAUUUUUUCCCUAUAAAUACCUAACCAUUUUAUUUACUUUCCACACCAAAUCUUCAUACAAUUUCUUCUCCAUCCAAUAUUUUUUACUCCCCACUCACAUUAUGCACUUUCCACACCAAUUCUCCAUACAAAGUCUUCUCCUUCCAAUAUUUUUUUUAAUGAAUAUCCGAAAAUUUUAUCUGGAAUAAGACACGUGGCAACCGAGGUUCUCAUCCGAAAAUCUUUUUUGAAAAAUAAUGGACACAUGACAACCAAAAAUAUUAUCCAAAAAUUUAAUUACAAAAUAUUAUCAAAAUUAAUGGUUUAAAGUAUAAAAAAAUAUGAAAUAAAGUACAAUGAAUAGUAUUUGCCUUAGACUUGCCCUAGACUUAGCCCUUAUGGGUGGAGUUGCUCUAAAUGCACAACAUUUUCCACAUCAAGUAAAUAAAAGUGAUAUCGAUGAAGAAAGACGUUUCCCAUUGAAUGAAAAAACCAAGCUAACGAAACAAUUGAAAUCAACAUUUAACAGAAACUUGUUUAUAUAACCAAUUUCAACAAGAGGGACUCACAACUUCUGAACCGUAAUCCGUUGCAGCAGCUCAAGACUUUUGCUCUCUCUCUCUCUCUCUCUCUCAAAAUAAUCUGUUUCAGCUCUCUCUUUAUGAUGAGAUUAGGGUUAGAGAAUGUGUCUGACGAGAGCAGGACCUUAAGUUUAUAUAGGGCUAGGUUAAGUCGUCUCUACUCAUCAUCAAGGGCCGACUUGACUAAUCUUCCAAGCCCACCAAGCAAUGGUUCAUGCAAAAAAAAAAAAAAAAUAGGACCUCUUAGUAGGCUUCAAAAUUUUUCCUUAUUCUACAAAGUUUUGAACCUCAAAGCAUAACCAAAUUUAAACUUUUAUCAAAACCUAAUAUAAUUUAAUAUUUAAUGCACUGAUCCAAAUAGGAAACAUAACAUCCCCAUUCCCAUUCCCAUUGUCCUUUUGAAAGUUGAAAAUCACUCCACAACUCUAGUUUGAGAAGUGGAAUUAUAAGUAGAUAAACUGCCCACUCUUAUAUUGAAGGUACACUAAAAGUUUGUCCUCAAGCUCCGCUGUGGUUAAUGGUCCAUGUGAGAGAGACAAGUGCUCUGCGCCCCCCCACACACACAGAGACCUCUUGGCCCACCUGCAGCAUCACCUUCCAUUCCAUUUCAUUCCUACCUAAUAAAUUGCUAUCUUCUUAUCUACUACUAAAAAGGCAACCAUACAAAUCAUUCAUACUGUCAACUCAAUCAUAAAUUGCAUCAUGUUCAGUUGGCAGCAACUUUUUAUUAUUUUGAUAAUACAUAAGUUGUUUGGGGACGGACGAAUAAGAGUAUAAGAGCUGUGAUAAUGUGAAUAAAUAUUCUUAAUUACUUUUUAGUUAUGAUAUUGUUUCUGAAAAUUUAGCAACAAGUUUAAUAAACCAAAAUUCCUUUUGCCCUGCUGGGAUCGAUCAAGUAAAGGGAUUUACUAGUUGGUUGUUGCAAAGAACAAUUGAUUGAGUGUUCUUCGUUUUCAUCGUUUUGUGGGGGCAGAUGUAGCCAAAUCACAUGCAUGACUCAGUAUGUACUUCAACAACAAACCUUCCGUUACUGUAGGAUUCAAAAGCGAACCUUAUAAUUAUAGCCACCACCGAAUGCAGUCCUAAAUAAAACAAACAAAAAAUUAGAUGUGCAUGCGCGCUUGACCCUAGUAUCUCUCACAUACGUAAUAGCAUAGCAAAUCCAAGCAAUGACCAGGUAAUUACUCGAGUGCAAAAAUGAAUAUUUGCCUUGACAUGACGUUAUUAUUAUUAUUAUUAUUAUCCCUUAUUAUUAAAGCAAAGACAUGAGUGGUAUGCCUUUGAUCUGAUUUGUCAAUAAGAAAAAGAAAAGACAGCCUUUACAUUUAGUAAGGAAACACACAACAGCCACAUUUCAAAAGAAAAUAUAUUUUCUCGAUAUAAUUUAGGUGGCCGAUAUAUUUGACCCAUGCGAGAAAGAAACCCAGGGAGGCACAAACGCCACUCGAGAAGUAGAUGUGACACACCAUAUUAUCCAUGUUCCUUUUAUUUAUUUACAUGUAACGCUCAAUUAAGUCAAAUUUGUUUUUUUAAAUUACUUUUAUUAUAUUUGUUUUUUCUUUUUAUUAACAUGGAUUUGCCAUCGCAUAGCCGUUUCUAAGAUUUUGAGUGUCCUGUGGCGAAACUUAAAUUGGGACCUCACAUAAUCUAAUACGAAAAUACUAUUUAAAAAAAAAAAUUCAUACAUUAAUGUCAUAAAACAACAUUUUCAUCGAUAUCAACAUUUUCAUUCUCAUCAUUCUCAUUAUGCUCAACAAUAUUACCCACACUUUCAUCCAUAUUGUUUUCAGUAUCUUGCAAUUCCUCAACAUUAUCUUCUUGUUGUUCAUUGGAAAUACUUUCAUCAAUUGUAGCAUGUGAUUUUAACAAUGAAUCUAUCUAGAGCUCCUCUUUGAGAUUGAGUCAAUUCCUCGAAUUUUCUUUUUCUAAGUCGUUUUGUAUAUCCAGAAACGUAUUUUCUAGUAGGUGGUAUGUUUAAAUUACAAAGAAAAAUUCUAAAACCCUAUAACCUGGAAAAUAACCCCAACAAGAAAUAGAUAAAUAUUUCUAAAAACUAUAUUUUCUAAUAUAACCAAUCAUCAACAUGAUAAUAAUUUUAAAAAAUAAGUCAUGUAAUAUAUAGAUUGAAAUUGAGAUUUGAUUGAAUAUGACUAUAUGAUUUUGAGUGGUUUUUAUGAAUUUAGGAAUUUAGGUUUUCGCUUUUUUAUAUUAAAUUUCUGAAAUUAAAAGAAUAACAAAAAUUGUCAAAGAAAAAAUAACCAAAGAGAUUGAUGAAUGAUGAUGAUUACUUACUAGAAAAUCAGAGUUUAAGAGAAAGAAGAAGUCAUGAAGUUUUUUAUUUUUUUAUUUUUUAUAGUGGAAGAAAGUACUUUGAUACUCGUACAAAAGAGAUUGAUAUAAUUGCUACUAGUUAGCUUAGUUUGAUGUUUCCCUUUUUUUAAAAACCUGUUUCUGUUUCAUUUAUUUAUAAUUAUUUAAAGUUUGUUGUUACACACACUUGAUUUUCGAGGGUCGCAAUGACGCCACUUGCACCACCUCAGGGCCGUAUAUAUAUAUAUAUAUAUAUAUAUAUAAUAAAAGCAGAGCUUAUGAGCUGCAGUGGAAGGCUAAGUUUUAUUUAUUUAUAAUUAUUUAAAGUUUGUUGUUAUACACACUUGAUUUUCGUGGGUCCUGUACGGUGGCGCCACUUGCACCGCCCCAGAGCCGUAUAUAUAUAAGCAGAGAUUAUGAGCUGCUCACAGUGGAAGGUAGAGAGAGAGAGAGAGAGAGGAGAGAGAGAGGAGAGAGAGAGCAAGCUAUCAUGGAGCCUUCUAGUGAUAACGAGCCCUCUGAGCCCCUCUUGCUUUCCAAAUCAUCUUCGAUGCAUAUAGUGAGCCGUGAACUGGAAGACACACUAAACAACACUGAACUCUCAUACUUCCAGCGCCUCCGAACCGGCACAUGGCUUGAGCUGAAGAUCCUCUUCCGCCUGGCAGCUCCGGCGGUGGUGGUUUACUUGCUCAACAAUGUCAUAUCCAUGUCCACCCAAAUCUUCUGUGGCCAUCUUGGCAACCUUGAACUCGCUGCCUCCUCUCUUGGCAACACUGGCAUUCAAGUUUUCGCCUAUGGCCUCAUGGUACAACUAGUUAAUUAAUUAAUUUUGCCUAUGUUCUUUUAUCGAAUAUAAGUGAAAUAUGGUAUGUUUAAUGAACAAUCUGACAACAUAACAUAUUGAUUGGAUUGUUAUGUUCCCAGGGAUUAGGAUUAAUUUGGUAUAAUUAAUUCAUGUGUGUUUUUGGUGCAGCUUGGUAUGGGUAGUGCAGUGGAGACACUGUGUGGUCAAGCCUAUGGUGCACAUAAGUACGACAUGCUAGGCAUAUAUAUGCAGCGAUCGACAAUCCUCCUCCUAGCAACUAGCAUCCCACUGAUGAUAAUUUACAUCUUCUGCAAGCAAAUCUUGUUAGGCCUAGGUGAAUCAGCCUCCAUUGCUGCCGCGGCAGCGAUCUUUGUCUACGGUCUCAUCCCUCAAAUCUUUGCCUACGCCUGCAACUUCCCCAUACAAAAGUUCCUCCAAGCCCAGAGCAUAGUGUUCCCUAGCGCCUACAUAUCGCUGGGGGCACUGGUAGUGCACAUAGUGCUAAGUUGGGUGGUGGUGUACAAAUUGGGAGGGGGCCUGUUGGGCGCCGCGUUGAUUUUGAGUUUUUCGUGGUGGAUUAUAGUGGUGGCGCAAUUUGUUUACAUAUUGUGGACGCCAAGGUGCAAACGCACAUGGAGAGGGUUUAGCAUCAGGGCAUUUUCUGGGCUGUGGGGCUUUUUGAAAUUGUCUGUGGCAUCUGCCGUCAUGCUUUGCCUGGAGACUUGGUACUAUCAAAUUAUAGUUUUGCUGGCUGGGUUGCUUAAAAAUGCUGAAAUUGCAUUGGACGCUCUCUCUAUUUGGUGAGCAAAAUCAAAGCUAUUAACUAUAGUUAAUUAGUUUGCCACUUAACCUUAAUAAUCAGAUCAGAAGGUCCACUCACUCUUGCUCUGCUUAAUUAGCACCACUCACAAAAAAACAACAAAAAUCAAAAUUUGGUAGCUACUAGUCUGGUAGCUGGGCACAACAACUAGUCAAUUCAUUUUUAUUUAUUUUUAAGCUUUGACCAAAGUCAAUGUUUUAUGAAACGCUCAGAAACUGUGUCUGUAUUUCUUUCUACAUGGUUUUCAUGUGAUGAGGAGGAAACAUGCUUUGCAUGCUUUCUUAAGCAGUUACAGAUCUUAAAACCUGCCCUGCGUGCGUUCAAGUAUUUGAUAUUAGCUAGCGUAGCGUCGUAAAAUAGUGGUAGUCAAACUGCAAAAAGAUAUAAACAAAGUGUGUGUGCCUGUCAGAUUGUGGUCAGCUGUGUCGUUUGUAUUCGUAUAUAUAUAUAAUUGUUUUCUUUGUAUUCUUUACGUCACAGUCACAUGAAAAAAUGUUGGACAUGCAUGUUUCACUAUCUAAUAUCUAAUAAAAAUUAUUAUCUUUUAAUUUAUGAUGGGUUAUUAAUUGAUGCAGCAUGACCAUAACUGGAUGGGUCUUCAUGAUUGCUGUGGGGUUCAAUGCUGCUGCAAGGUCAGUAAAUUUCACAAAACACAAGACAUUACCGGAUGCAGAGAUAACUGUUCUUAACUACUUGAGCUAGCAAUUAUUUGAGAACUAAUUGAUGAAUAAAUAAUUAUGCAGUGUGAGGAUUGGAAAUGAGCUUGGGGCAGGACAUCCAAAAUCGGCAGCAUUUGCAGUGGUGGUGGUGACUUCAAGCUCCUUCAUCAUAUCGGCGGUGUGCGCCAUAAUUGUGCUUGUUUUACGACAUGAUAUAAGUUAUGUGUUCACUGAGGGAGAAACAGUCUCCAAUGCCGUCUCAGACCUUUCCCCGUACCUAGCCAUAUCUAUCGUUCUCAAUGGCAUCCAACCUGUUUUGUCUGGUACGUGUGAUUGAUCAAGUUUUAUUUUCUUUUUUUUGUCGGUAUGUGUUGGCAGACCAUGAAUGUCUAAUAAAUCCAGAAACCAAACAGUCAACGAUCUAAAAGUCUACGUGAUGGACUUAGUAGUUGAACAUCAAGAUCACACGACGUAGCCCUAUUUUCGAUCAAAAUCUGCCUCUUCUGUGUGUCGUUUUUUGACUUUACCAUGCAAUGCAAUGUGCGUUUUGGAGUGUCGUUCUGGAUAUAUAUUCCCUAAUGUAGGAUUCUAUAUUUUGGGCCAAAAACAAAAGGAGUGGCUGUCGGGUGCGGAUGGCAAGCAUUUGUGGCAUAUGUUAACGUGGGAUGUUACUACAUCAUUGGGAUCCCAUUGGGUUGCCUUCUUGGAUUCAAGUUCGAUUUCGGAGCUCAGGUGAUAAUACUAUUUUCCUAUUUUUAGCACUUUAAUUAUAUAUAUUGUUUGUGGUUUUAUGUAUAAUUAAUUUUAGGUUUGCUUUAAUUCUGUCAGGGAAUAUGGACUGGCAUGAUAGGAGGCACUUUUAUACAGACAAUCAUCUUACUGUGGGUCACAUAUCGGACUGACUGGAACAAAGAGGUUAGCCUAAUCUAUAAUAAUUAACUACUUUAAUCUCACUAUCAAUUGGACAGUUAUAUUUAGAAUAACGUUAAAUAAUUGUUUGCAGGUUGAAAAAGCACAGAGUCGUUUGGACACUUACGAGGACAAGAAGGAUUCCGAUGAUGAAGUGCUGACCAAUUAGUCGAGUUUUCAACUUGCUCUUUUCUUUUUUCUCUGGCGGACGUCGGGGAGGUUACAUGAGUUUUGCUUGCUUUUUACGUGCAUGGAAAGUUUUGCAUUAUUGUAAUAACGUUCCUUUCCUUGAUUAGGAAGGAAGUCCAAAAAUAUUUUAAACUUGAUGAGGAGGAGAAAGGGUUUAUUUUGUGGCUGGUCUGUUUUGUUGUAUUAGGCUGCCCUCAUCUUGUCAUUUUGGGCCAACCUGCUUAUAUCAAAUCCAAGAAUUGCAGUUGGUCUGUUUUAGUAAUUUCCACUGCAAUGUGUGUGACAUUGCAAAAGAAAACCUCUAGGGUCGACACGCGUAGGUCCAAACAAGUCAAAGUAAAAGCUAAUUGAGAACAACAGACGUAAGAAGACAGCUGUUUUUCCAUAACAUAGAAAGAGAAAUCGAGUAGCUAAAUCAUGCCAUGCGUCACAAAAUUCGCCUCAUGAAACACAUAUGAUUUAUUUUACUAGUGCGACAACCAGGGCUCAUCAUCAGUGCCCACUGCCCAGCAAGCAAUGAUGCAUGCGCUUAAACAGACGACCCGUCAAUACUGAUCAAUUUUAAAUAUUUCAACUGAUGACGAAAACAAUGGUUUCUCCUUCAUUUAGAAGAAUUUAGAAAGGGAAUUUAUCUCAAAACCGCUUAUAAUCAAAUCAGGAUUUUGAUAAGAAAUCGAAUUUUACUUCAAACAUUUAGACAAUGACAUAGCUGAUCUAUAUGUUUGUAAAUUAAUUUUGUAGUUAAAUAACAUAAGAAAAAUAAGAAAAUUGAGUUUCCAUUACAUUACGAAACUUGUAAUAACUUUUAUGUAUAGUCUUUAGUAAGAGGUUUUAAUUUCAAAUCUUUCUUCUAAUUUAUAUAAAAUAAAAUACAAAAAGAUUAGCGCGAUGCCCAAAUAAACUUAUUUCCAUCCCCACAUCUUGUCUGGCUAUAGUUGUUGCUUUUUAACUUUUCAUCCGCCUGCAUCAUUCAUCUGGGCAGCUUUCUUUCACUUUCCCAGUAGCCCGGGGGCAUUAAUCAUGUAUUGCCUUUCACUUUCAAUGUUGUUUCAUUAAUUCUGGCUCCCGUGCUAUGGAAAAAACUUAUUCUAUAACGAGGGUAUCACUGUUUUGUUAUUCCCGGCUAAUAACACAAUAACAUGUGCAAAAGUUAUUUCACGUGUCAUUGUGUUAUUGAUUGGGGAUAGCGAAAAGUUAUAUUCCCGUUGCAUGAGAGUUUCCCUCCAUGCUCUACUAUGUACUAGCUUCAGUUUCAAUAAAGUACCAAUUGGUAUAGUCCAACUCCUUGUAAGUAAGCCCUUGUAAUAUUUUCUAAUUUUCCAAUGUGUUGGUGGAACAUUUUUAUAUUUACAUUUUCACAUGUCAUUGCACGUGUGACGAAUUUUCAAAUUUAAUACGUGGAUAAUAUAUAGUGGAUGACGUGGAGCACAUAUAGGAUGUAACCAUUAGGCUUUCACAUGUGAACAAACCUAUUUUGAUGUCAUGAAGGAGAUUGAGAUUCCACCCAAAAUCAGACCCCAAAAAAAAAAAAAAAUCACACAUCGUAUCGAAAACAAACUUGUUCUCUUACAUGGGGCCUUGUCGUUUAGUAUAAUUGCUCCUCAUUAUUAAUCCUUCCAAGCACCCAUUUCCUCGAUAUAUCAAAUUUUUGCAGAUGCCACAAACACCUUGAUUGUAUAGUUGUAAGUCCAAAUGGUCAAUGAUCAAGACCAACUCCGCCAACCCAUCUUAGACUCCGAACCCGACUCAACAGCACUCGAAGCCUCCAACCAAGGCGAUGGCUUGGAGUCUCCACUUGAGAAGGUGCUAUCUGACACCCAACUGCCCUCCUUCAAGAGACUCCGCUUGGCCACAUGGAUUGAACUCAAUCUCCUCUUUCGCCUUGCAGCCCCUGCCGUCCUGGUUUAUGUCGUUAACAACUUCAUGUCACUUUCCACUCGUGUCUUCGCCGGCCACCUCGGCAACCUUGAGCUCGCUGCAGCCUCCCUUGGCAACAGCGGCGUCCAACUCUUCGCCUACGGCCUCAUGGUACACGUCCCACAACCUUAACUCUUGUUAUGUUUCACUCUGUCAACUAAGAGUUGACGUGUCAAAUUGUUAUGUUUCACUCUUGUUAUGUUGUCAUUCUUAUCUUUUGCCGUCUGUCUGGGUCUUGUCUCAUGCAGUUAGGCAUGGGAAGUGCGGUGGAGACUCUAUGUGGACAAGCCUACGGUGCCGAAAAAUAUGACAUGUUAGGCAUAUACCUCCAAAGAGCAACCAUAGUCCUAACCCUCACAGGCCUUCCACUGCUUCUCAUCUUCCUUCUAUCCAAACCCAUCUUGAUCUUAUUUGGUGAGACACCAAAGCUGGCUGCAGAAGCCGCCGUUUUCGUCUACGGUCUCAUCCCACAAAUCUUUGCCUACGCCAUCAACUUCCCGAUGCAAAAGUUUCUUCAAGCCCAGAGAAUUGUGGCCCCAAGUGCCUACAUAUCAGCAGCUACACUUGGAGUGCAUAUACUGUUGAGCUGGGUAGCUGUGUACAAGUUGGGCAUGGGGUUGAUAGGUGCGUCGUUGGUUCUGAGCUUGUCGUGGUGGAUCAUAGUUGGGGCCCAGUUUAUUUACAUCCUAAAGAGCAGUCGGUGCAAGGAGACGUGGAGUGGUUUUAGUUUGCAAGCGUUUUCUGGGUUGUGGGAUUUUCUGAAACUAUCGGCUGCGUCGGCUGUGAUGCUGUGCUUGGAGACUUGGUACUUUCAGGUGCUAGUGUUGAUUGCUGGGUUGCUUGAGAACCCUGAGCUCGCGUUAAAUUCUUUGGCCGUAUGGUAAGAACAAAAAUCAUCUGGUGGUGAUGCCUAAUUAAUUUUCAUUGUCUACAGUAACUUCAAAUAAAAAUAUGGGUUUGACUGGGACUACCGAAAUAUCGAAAUCAUAAUGAUUGGUCAUCAUCAGUGUUUUUAUAAGGACAUCCAUGAGAUGAGACCGCAAGACAUUAUUGAUCACAAAACGACACAUGUCAUGAGUCAUUCCCCAAUUUUUUCUAUCACACAGGAACAUAUAUAUAUAUAGACAUGUCUUUACUUUUUGGUUGGACUAUAUAUAGAAUAUAUAGAUACACAUAUGUCAUCCACCCAUCAAGUCCUCUUCUCGUAGACUCUAUAGCCAAGGAAUUUGUGGUCAUCACUCUUAAAUCUAAUCCAAAGGUGGAUAAAAUAUUUAUUUUAAAUUCAAGAAUGAUGACCACAAACUCCUUGAAUUAAAGGGGCAUGCAUGUAUACACGUAGAAAUUUAUGGAUUUAAUUUUAGUGUUGGUUUCGUGGCCUUAUGCAUGCAGCAUGGCGAUAUCUGGAUUGUUGUUCAUGGUUUCAGUCGGGUUUAAUGCGGCUGCAAGGUAUAAUAUUGGAUUAAUUAUAAAAAUAAUUAAGUGUAAUAUUAUGGAUAUCAAAUUAACAUUCAGUUAAUGAUAUUGUAUAUAUGUGGGAACAGUGUGAGGGUAAGCAACGAGCUAGGUGCUGGGAAUCCAAAGUCAGCAGCAUUCUCAAUUCUAGUGGUAACAAUUGUGUCGUUAAUGAUUGCUGUCGUGGAAGCUGUGGUUGUGCUCUCCUUCCGUGACGUAAUCAGUUACGCCUUCACCGACGGUGAAACAGUGGCCAAUGCCGUCUCCCACCUCACUCCUUACUUGGCCAUCACUCUUAUCCUUAACGGAAUUCAACCAGUCCUGUCCGGUAAGCACUCUUAUCCAUCCAGCUAGCCACCAUCAAUCAGGGAUCAAAUUGGAUUUUAAUUAUAGUUAUAUCCGAUAUGAUAUCUUUUUGGCUGGUGUAUUGUAAAGACAAGACUCUAGAGUCAUAUGUGUGAGGCUGGUGUAUAUAAUAAUAUAUAUAUGUAAAGACAAGACACUAGAGCGAUAUGUGUGAGGUGUCAAAUGAGUCGAUCCGACCUGACACGAAUAUGUCAAAAGCACGAUUUUAAAUAGGCCGGCUCAAUUCAGUUUGACCCGUUUAAGACCUCUUCGUGUGAUAUUUUUUCCACUUGAUUGAACACUAAUUCUUGACUCGUCGUUGUGAUCAUAUAAGAAGACAACAUAAGUAUAUUUCAAAAUAGUGGUCCAUCUGCAGAGAAAAUACACCAAGUUAAUCAACAUAUAUAUAUAUAUAUAUAUAUAUGGUAUUGAAUUGAAUUGCAGGGGUGGCCGUUGGAUGUGGAUGGCAAGCAUUUGUGGCGUAUGUGAAUGUUGGAUGCUAUUACGUGGUUGGGAUCCCAAUUGGUUGUCUUCUUGGAUUUAAGUUCGACCUUGGUGCGGAGGUAACUAUAUAUAAUAAUACUUGUUCCAACUUAGCAUACAUUGAUUUUUUUUUAAAUUUAAUAAGAAAAAUUAUUUUAUGCCAUGUGCAUGUCAAGUGCCACUGAAUUGGACAGGAAAAUGUUGGGUUAAGAAGGACAAACUGCAUGAAAACUUUGUUUUGAAUAUGUGAAAAAAGUAAUUGGAAAUGAACAUGCAGGGGAUCUGGUCGGGGAUGAUAGGAGGAACAUUCAUGCAGACUAUCAUCUUACUGUGGGUAACAUUUCGAACGGACUGGAACAAAGAGGUAAUUUCAAUGAACAUUCUUGCACAUGUUAAAGUUUUCCUAAAUAGGAGAAUCGAGCCUUUUGACAGUCCACAAUGAUUGAAGCCCACUCUUGAUAUUCCUUUUAAGGGUGGUUUAGUAUAACGGACUGUCGUAGACUUAACUAAAUAUUGGUACUAUUUUGGAUUGGCAUAAGUUGGAUAACACUUGUACAACGUUUGGUAUAUAUUUGAUUGGACAAGGACAAUUUUUUUUCCAACUUUUCUUCUCUAUCCAUCUCUUUCCUUGUCUUCCUCUAUGCUUCUCUUUCAUCUUCUCCAUUUUCUCUCCUCUUCUUUUGUCUAAUUUUCUUUUUUGAAAAUUUUCUCUCCUCUUCUCAGUUUUUUUUUUUUUUUUUUUUUGGCGUGGAAAAUUUUAUCCUCUCCUCUUCCUCUUCUAUUAUGUCUUCUCCUUCUUGGGCGACUGUGGCUGGUGGUCAUGUUUAGUGGUUGUGGAUGGUGGUCGUUGCUGGUGGUUGUGGUUGCCGCUUGGUGGGUCGGUGGUUGUGAGGCGAUUGGGUGGGGUUGGUUGCUUGUUGCUUGGGUCAAGACUAUUAGUCCCUCCUCUCUAGACAAGUUUCGCUAAGAACACUUAAGGAGGUGUUUUUGGUGGGCUUAGUAUUAGUUAAUCUCACUUAAAAUUAGAGCCGUAUAAAAUAAAUAUGGGAUAAAAUCUUAACCAAGCUGUUAGAGACCCUUCAUAUUCAUGACAGUUACAGCAAGUUAGGGAGAUUUCUGUUACAUUUGUUAAUACCCAUCAUUGCCUUGUUGUCUGUUACAAUUCGGAUAUAACUCCCAGACCAUUGCAGCUUAUAUAAAAUCCAUGUAAUACUGUGUAUUUAGAUAUGAAAAGAAUCUGUUUCUACAUGGUAUCUAGAGCCUCCAUUUUUCCUUAAAAAUUUUCUGCUUCUCUUCCUUUCCAUGGCGUCCUCCUCCUCCUCCUCCUCCUCCUCCUCUUCGUCUAGUGUUCUCUCCUUCCCCAAUUUCUCUACUCUUGUCUCCACCAAACUCUCGGAAACCAAUUACCUUCUUUGGGAAAGUCAAGUUCAACCCUAUCUUAUUGGGCAAAAUUUUUGGCGAUUCAUCGAUGGUUCUCACCCAUGCCCUCCUGCUGUUCUCACUCCCUCCACAGACAAAGCUGUUGACACUGCUCAGGCCCUCGUGGCUCCUGUCCCUAACCCAGAAUAUCUUACCUGGUAUCAAACCGAUCAAUCUCUUAUCAGUAUUCUUCGUUCCACUCUCACCGAGCCGGUUCUUGCUCAAGUUGUUGGUCUCACCACUUCCCAAGCAGUCUGGGAUUGUCUUCGUCAGAACUUUUCUCAACAAUCUCUUGCUAAUGCCACCCAUCUCAAGUUUCAACUUCUCACCAUCACCAAAGGGACUAAGACAGUUUCUGAAUAUCUUGCUCUUGCCAAGAGCUUAUCUGAUCAGCUGGCAGCCAUACGUGCCCCAGUUUCCUCUGAUGAUUUGGUCAGCUAUGUGAUUCGUGGCUUGGGCCCCGACUACGCCAUGCUUAUCACUGCUAUCCUGCAAUUUCCUCCCUUACCUACCUUUGCUGAUCUUCGUGCUCGUCUCCUCGCCUUCGAUGCUCAACAAUCUCUCACUACUCUCAUGGCCUCUUCACCACCACCGCAAGCCUUUUAUUCCUCCCAUCCCCCACCUUCUCGUUCUGGCCAUCCUCGUGGUUCCCGUGGUGCACGCCAUGGUUCCCAGUUUCACCGCUCUGGGCCUUCCUCUAGUGCCUCAACCCGUCCUACUUUUUCAAGUUCACACCAGCCUCAUAACCGGUCAUCCCGCUCCUUCCAGCCCACCCCUAGCGUUUUGGGGCCUCCUCCGACACCACGCCCCUCUCUUCAAUGUUGGAACUGCCAACAAUUUGGCCAUAUUGCUGCUCGGUGCCCACUGUCUUCUCGUGAUGCUGACUUCUCUCCUCAUUUUGCUGGCAUGCAUAUCUCUCAAACUUCUGACCCCAAUUGGUACUUGGACUCUGGUGCCACCAAUCACAUGACCAAUGAUGCCCGCACAUUGACAAAUGUCUCCUCCACUUCUGAUCAAGUCCUCAUUGGUAAUGGUGCCUCCCUUCCCAUUACUCACUCUGGUAAUGUCGCCUUUUCCUCUGGCUCCUUUGCCUUUAAUUUAUCCGAUGUCCUUCUCGUUCCCUCUCUUCACAAAAAUCUUAUUUCUAUCGCUCAACUUACUCACGAUAAUCCUGUUAGUAUUACUUUUGUUUCUUCCGGAUAUGUUAUUCGACACUUACCCAUAGGCGUUAUUCUCUUUCAGGGCCGAUGUAGUGAUGGCCUUUAUCCGGUCUUGCCCUCCCUUGCCUCCAAGUUGGUUUCAUGCUCCAAGUCCGCUUUCUCUUCCACCGUCUCGUCGUCAUCCCUUUGGCAUCAUCGUUUGGGUCAUCCGUCCAAUAAAGUGCUUAGUGCCUUAGUCUCUCAGUCCUUGUUAGGUUCUCCUUUUCGGUUAUCUAAUAAUUCAUGUAGCCAUUGUGCCUUGGCAAAGUCAGUUCGUCUUCCUUUUUCAUCUCGUGCCCAUUGUUCCCAUGAACCCUUUCAUUUAAUACAUUCUGAUGUUUGGAUGUCUCCAGUUGCUUCUUUUUCUGGUUUUCGGUAUUAUGUACUUUUUACUGAUGAUUUUACUCGUUUCUCAUGGAUUUUUCCUAUGCGACUUAAAUCGGAAGUCUUUCAUCAUUUUUCUACAUUUGUCUCUUAUGUUGAAACCCAAUUUUCUAUGCAUGUUAAACAGUUUCAAAGUGAUGGAGGAAAGGAAUUUGAUAAUGGAAACUUUAAACAAUUUUGUGCUUCCAAAGGUAUUAUUCACCGCUUCUCAUGUCCCCAUACCCCACAACAAAAUGGCCUUGCUGAGCGCAAACAUCGCCAUAUUGCCGACAUGGGUCGUACCUUACUUCUUACUGCCCAUCUUCCUUUUACUUUUUGGGUUGAGGCCUUUUGCACUGCUGUCUACUUAAUCAAUCGUCUUCCUACCCCGCUUCUCAAGUGGGACACGCCUUUUCGGCGGUUGUUUCGGAAAGACCCGGAUUAUUCUUUUAUCCGAACAUUUGGGUGUACAUGCUAUCCGUAUCUUGGUGCUUAUGUUUCUCACAAGUUACAACCUCGUUCUCUUGCUUGUGUUUUUCUUGGCUACAGUGCAAAUCAUCGCGGAUAUCGCUGCUAUCAUCCUCCCACCGGGCGUGUAUACCAUUCUAGACAUGUUGUCUUUCACGAGCAUGAUUUUCUCUAUUCUGCUCCUACCUCAACGCCAUCACAUGCCACAGCUGCCAAUGGUUUGGUCUCUGUUCCAGUCGUCACAGCUUCCUCCCCACUCCAUGGGCCUGCUGCCUCUCCUCUAGAUAUUGGGCCACAGUCACUUUUGGAGCCCAUUUCCCCCCUUACACAGUCAGCCCAUGUGGAGCCACCUGGUCUUGUGGCCGCCAACUUGAAUUCAUCUCCAUCACCUGCUCUGGUCAUCACCCCAGCAUCCGCACCAACAGCUGCCACCCAUCUCUCGGCUCCAGCCCCCUUGGCUCCAGCACCGACCGACUCCACACCUGUAUCGGCUACAGCACCUCCCUCUCCGUCUGCUCCAGCACCAUCGCCAGCCGUCGCUCCACAACUCCCGCCUCCAGCACAGGUUUCCGACAGGCCUCCUGCUCCUCCCUCUGCUCGGACAAGCCCAGUUCACACACGGUCCAAAUCCGGCAUCUUCAAAACCAAGUUUCGUUCUAAUUUCAUGGUUCGCUAUCCUAUUCCUUCAGCGUUCCUUGCUUUGGCUGAUUCUGAUCUUGAGCCUACAUGCUACACCCAUGCCUCUCGGUUUUCUCAUUGGCGACAAGCUAUGUAUGAUGAGUUUAAUGCGCUUCUUAAGCAGGGCACUUGGUCAUUGGUUCCCUUGCCCCUUUCUGUUCGUGCUGUCGGUUGCAAGUGGGUUUUCAAAAUCAAACGCAACUCUGAUGGAAGUAUAGAACGUUACAAGGCCCGUUUGGUGGCCAAGGGUUAUCAUCAACAACCAGGCAUUGACUAUUUUGAUACCUACAGCCCUGUUGUCAAACCUACCACUAUUCGCACUGUACUAAGUCUUGCAAUCUCUUCUGGUUGGACUCUUCGUCAAUUAGACGUCAACAAUGCGUUCCUUCAUGGUACUCUUUCUGAGGACGUAUAUAUGCAGCAACCUCCUGGAUUUAUUGAUCCUACUCGGCCCCAACAUGUUUGCAAACUCCAUAAAGCUCUCUAUGGCCUCAAACAGGCUCCUCGUGCAUGGUUUCAGCGCCUCAGCUCUUUCCUCAUUUGUUAUGGGUUUCUCCAAAGCCGUGCCGACUCCUCCAUGUUUAUUUUUCGGAACAACUCUCACAUGAUGGUCUUACUUCUUUAUGUCGACGACAUUGUUCUCACCGGUAGUAGUACUUCUUCCCUUCUGAAUUUCAUUCGCAUCUUGGGCACUGAAUUUGAUCUCAAAGAUCUUGGGCACCUCAAUUAUUUCCUGGGUAUGGAGGUGACUUAUUUGUCUGGUAGUCUUCAUCUCACACAGAAUAAAUAUACCAUUGAUUUACUCCAACGCAGUAACCUGUUGGAGUGCAAGCCUUGCUCCACACCCAUGGCCUCGAAAGGCUCCUUAUCCCGCACCACUGGUCAUCCUCUAUCUGACCCCUCCAUUUAUAGGCAGCUGGUUGGCACUCUCCAGUACUUAACUCUCACUCGUCCGGACAUUGCCUACGCGGUUCAAUUUGUGUCUCAGUUUAUGGGCUCUCCUACUGAUCUUCACAUGGAAGCUGUCAAACGCAUUCUUCGAUACCUCAAGGGCACUCUUGGUCAUGGUUUACCUUUCCAUCCGUCCCCCCACUCCACCAUUCUUGUUGCCUAUUCGGAUGCUGACUGGGCAGGUUGCCCCGAUACACGUCGCUCAACAACUGGCUAUUGCGUGUUCUUAGGGUCCAAUUUAAUUUCCUGGAGUGCUAAGAAACAACGUACGGUUUCCCGCUCUAGUGCCGAGGCAGAAUACCGCGCCCUCGCCUAUGCCUGCGCUGACACCAUUUAGAUACAGGGUCUCCUUCGUGAAUUACACUUCCCGCUCCACCACCCCGUUCUCCUCAAUUGUGACAAUCUCUCUGCGACUUACAUGGCUGCCAAUCCUGUUUUUCAUGCCCGCACGAAACAUGUUGCUCUUGAUUAUCACUUUGUUCGCGAACGUGUUGCCUCCGGCACCCACAAAGUUUCCUUCAUCCCCUCUGCUGCUCAGCUUGCUGAUGUCUUUACCAAAGGCCUUCCUACCGACCGCUUUGCUCGCCUUGUCUCCAAACUUGUCUCUCCUCCGCCGCCAAGUUUGCGGGGGAGUGUUAGAGACCCUUCAUAUUCAUGACAGUUACAGCAAGUUAGGGAGAUUUCUGUUACAUUUGUUAAUACCCAUCAUUGCCUUGUUGUCUGUUACAAUUCGGAUAUAACUCCCAGACCAUUGCAGCUUAUAAUCCAAUCCAAACUUGCACGGUGUAACAAACACCCCGUUAUUGUGCUUAAAGCCUAUUAGAAACCUAGUUGGAACUUGAACAGCUCAACAUGAACUGAAUUGGAAUUGUGUUUAAAUCAGUCAUUCUCUUCUAAAAAAUUAGACCCACCAAACAUGGCAUUUAAUCAUUUGCACAUCUUAAUUAUUUUGAGGUAUCGAAUUGUUUUUAGGUGGAAACAGCCGGGAAACGUUUGAAAAAAUGGGAAGACAAGAAGCUGCCUCCUCCUCUUCUGAAAAGCUGAUGUGCUCAAAUUUAAACAAGCUUUUCUAGUCUGUUGUUGCUCGAUCGGGACAACCCAACUUCAUAUUUUACUGAAUAAUUCUGAUGAUCAAAUACAUUUGUAAUGUGUUAAUAAACAUAUGGGAGUCGAAUGGUGUGCAAGUCAAAAUUCUUUUUAAUUGAACUAGACGUCUUUUGGCAGAACCAUGUCCAUUUUUUGUGGGUCUGAUUUUAAAUGAAUUGGUUGGUUAGCUUCCUAGUCCAUGCUACUAGUAAAUGCGCCAAUCAGGUCUCGUCAGUGCCCAGCAACGCAGCAAUGACAAGUCACAAUCAAUUGAAAGUAAGUAUAAAUGUUGAGUAACUAUAAAAAUACAAAUCAUGAACUUAAACGGACGACCCGUCACCUCAAUACUGAAUGCAUGAUCGAUAAAGCAUAUUUCUCCCCUUUAUAUAUUUUUGCAACUUCAUAUCAUAUAUAUUAGGGCUUUAUAGCCUGAUGCCGAAAUAAACUUAUUUCCUCCCACAUCGUGUCGAAAAAGAAUUCCUUGCCGUACCGUCAAUAUUAUUCUUUCCAAGCACCCAUUUCGUUUUCGUCCAACAAAAAAAGCAGCCAUUUGCUGGAUAGAUCAAAUUGUGGCAAAGCCUCCACAAACACCAUAACCAUAGUUUGUUAGUCCAAUAUGGUCAAUGAUCAAGACCAACUCCGCCAACCCAUCUUAGACUCCGAACCCGACUCAGCAGCAGCCGAAGCCUCCGGCCAUGGCGAUGGCUUGGAGUCUCUACUUGAGAAGGUGCUAUCUGACACCCAGCUGUCCUCCUUCAAGAGACUCCGCCUGGCCUCUUGGAUUGAACUCAAGCUCCUCUUUCGCCUUGCAGCCCCUGCCGUCUUGGUGUAUAUCGUUAACUACCUCAUGUCACUUUCCACUCGUGUCUUCGCCGGCCACCUCGGCAACCUUGAGCUCGCCGCCGCCUCCCUCGGCAACAGCGGCGUCCAACUCUUCGCCUACGGCCUCAUGGUACACGUCCCACAACCUCAACUCUUGUUAUGUUUCACUCUGUCAACUAAGAGUUGAUGUGUCACAUUGUUAUGUUUCACUCU